Molecule: ribosomal RNA, 535 nt
Filed under: Utricularia triloba
Lineage: Eukaryota; Viridiplantae; Streptophyta; Magnoliopsida; Lamiales; Lentibulariaceae
Description: eukaryotic LSU rRNA
Rfam family: 5.8S ribosomal RNA (bases 238-393)
Source: RNAcentral
GUCGUAACAAGGUUUCCGUAGGUGAACCUGCGGAAGGAUCAUUGAUGAGCCCGAGAGCAACCGCGAACCCGAUGCAUGUGCCUGCGGGAGGCGCCGACCGGCGUCGCCCGCAACGCCCGUCCCCUUCCUCGUCGGUAGGGGUCGUGGCGCACGAGGAUCCCACCAGGCGCCGCGCGCGCGCCAAGGAACGGAAACGCGGGGGUCACGCACCCCCGACGAGUCUUUGUAGAAGCAAACGACUCUCGGCAACGGAUAUCUCGGCUCUCGUAUCGAUGAAGAACGUAGCAAAAUGCGAUACUUGGUGUGAAUUGCAGAAUCCCGUGAACCACCGAAUCUUUGAACGCAAGUUGCGCCCGAGGUGUUUCCACCGAGGGCAUGCCUCCCUGGGCUUCACGCAUCGCGUCGCCCCAUCUCGAUUUCAUCGUGGUGGGAGCGUAAUGUGGCAUCCCGUGCGCGCAUCCGUGCCGCGGCCUGCCGAAAUGCCUCGCGUCUGGUACCCCGCACAGGACGCCACGAGCAACGGUGGUCGGGUCGU